GUGAGGAAUAUUGCGCAAUGGAGACAACUCUGACGCAGCCAUGCCGCGUGCAGGAAGAAGGCGCUACGCGUUGUAAACUGCUUUUAACCGGGAAGAAACCCCAGGACGUGUCCUGGGUUGACGGUACCGGAGGAAUAAGCACCGGCUAACUUCGUGCCAGCAGCCGCGGUCAUACGAAGGGUGCAAGCGUUAUCCGGAUUCAUUGGGUUUAAAGGGUGCGUAGGCGGAGCGUUAAGUCAGUGGUGAAAUCCUGCAGCUUAACUGUAGACUUGCCAUUGAUACUGGCGCUCUUGAGUGCGCUUGAAGUGGGCGGAAUGUGCCGUGUAGCGGUGAAAUGCUUAGAUAUGGCACAGAACACCAAUUGCGAAGGCAGCUCACUAAGGCGAUACUGACGCUGAGGCACGAAAGCGUGGGGAUCGAACAGGAUUAGAUACCCCGGUAGUCC
RNAcentral lists this ribosomal RNA (445 nucleotides) under uncultured bacterium. Its description in RNAcentral is "partial 16S ribosomal RNA". It matches the Rfam family "Bacterial small subunit ribosomal RNA", at positions 354 to 796 of the family's 1533-position model. The record is from RNAcentral.